Chrysemys picta bellii (western painted turtle) is the source of this 194-nucleotide non-coding RNA. The record is from RefSeq and is a predicted model, not a curated record. Lineage: Eukaryota; Metazoa; Chordata; Testudines; Emydidae.
AGGAUUUCUGAAACUAUGAAGGGGAUUCCAGGGGUGGUGGCGGCAGUUACCUUCAGUGUGCCAUAUUCGGUCUCUGAAUUUUCAGUUCUUCCACAUUUGCCAGGUAUCUGCCCACAAAGAAAAUGCAGCUCACAGACCAAGAAGUAUUCUUCUAUUCCCACGGAGAAUUUCAAAGGGAAACUUUCUUUUAAAAU